UACGUAGGGGGCAAGCGUUGUCCGGAAUUAUUGGGCGUAAAGAGCGUGUAGGCGGCCAGGUAGGUCUGCUGUGAAAACUCGAGGCUUAACCUCGAGCUGUCGGCGGAAACCAUCUGGCUAGAGUCCGGAAGAGGAGAAUGGAAUUCCCGGUGUAGCGGUGAAAUGCGCAGAUAUCGGGAAGAACACCCGUGGCGAAGGCGGUUCUCUGGGACGGUACUGACGCUGAGACGCGAAAGCGUGGGUAGCAAACAGG
Molecule: ribosomal RNA, 253 nt
Filed under: uncultured bacterium
Lineage: Bacteria
Description: partial 16S ribosomal RNA
Rfam family: Bacterial small subunit ribosomal RNA
Source: RNAcentral